This 401-nucleotide ribosomal RNA is filed under the name uncultured delta proteobacterium. Its description in RNAcentral is "bacterial SSU rRNA". It matches the Rfam family "Bacterial small subunit ribosomal RNA", at positions 144 to 523 of the family's 1533-position model. Lineage: Bacteria; Deltaproteobacteria. The record is from RNAcentral.
UAACGUUCCGAAAGGGACGCUAAUACCGCAUGAGACCACGCCUUCUUCGGGAGGAGUGGGAAAAGGUGGCCUCUUCUUGAAAGCCAUCACCGGAGGAUGAGCCUGCGUCCCAUCAGCUAGUUGGUAGGGUAAUGGCCUACCAAGGCGAAGACGGGUAGCUGGUCUGAGAGGAUGAUCAGCCACACUGGCACUGGAACACGGGCCAGACUCCUACGGGAGGCAGCAGUGGGGAAUAUUGGGCAAUGGGCGCAAGCCUGACCCAGCCACGCCGCGUGAGCGAUGAAGGCCUUCGGGUUGUAAAGCUCUGUGGGAAGGGCGAAAGGCGGACGUGCUAAUAGUACUCCGUUUGACGGUACCUUCUUAGCAAGCACCGGCUAACUCUGUGCCAGCAGCCGCGGUAA